GAUGAAGAACGCAGCGAAAUGCGAUAAGUAAUGUGAAUUGCAGAAUUCAGUGAAUCAUCGAAUCUUUGAACGCACAUUGCGCCCGCCAGUAUUCUGGCGGGCAUGCCUGUUCGAGCGUCAUUUCAACCCUCAAGCCCCGCUUGGUGUUGGGCCCCGCCCGCCGUGGCCGGCCCUAAAGACAGUGGCGGCGCCGCCUGGCCCUCAGCGUAGUACAUCUCUCGCUCCAGGGUCCGGUGGCCGCCUGCCAGAACCCCCCAACUCUGUGGUUGACCUCGGAUCAGGUAAGGAUACCCGCUGAACUUAAGCAUAUCAAUAAGCGGAGGA
Molecule: unclassified non-coding RNA, 324 nt
Filed under: soil metagenome
Description: partial contains 5.8S ribosomal RNA, internal transcribed spacer 2, and large subunit ribosomal RNA
Rfam family: 5.8S ribosomal RNA (bases 1-120)
Source: RNAcentral